AGCGAACGCUGGCGGCAGGCUUAACACAUGCAAGUCGAGCGGGCAUCCUUGUGGUGUCAGCGGCAGACGGGUGAGUAACGCGUGGGAACGUGCCCUUCGGUUCGGAAUAACUCAGGGAAACUUGAGCUAAUACCGGAUACGUGCGAGAGCAGAAAGGUUUAUCUGCCGAAGGAUCGGCCCGCGUCUGAUUAGCUAGUUGGUGAGGUUACGGCUCACCAAGGCGACGAUCAGUAGCUGGUCUGAGAGGAUGAUCAGCCACACUGGGACUGAGACACGGCCCAGACUCCUACGGGAGGCAGCAGAGGGGAAUAUUGGACAAUGGGGGCAACCCUGAUCCAGCCAUGCCGCGUGAGUGAUGACGGCCUUAGGGUUGUAAAGCUCUUUUCUCCGGGACGAUAAUGACGGUACCGGAGGAAUAAGCCCCGGCUAACUUCGUG
This 437-nucleotide ribosomal RNA is filed under the name uncultured bacterium. Its description in RNAcentral is "partial 16S ribosomal RNA". It matches the Rfam family "Bacterial small subunit ribosomal RNA", at positions 29 to 507 of the family's 1533-position model. The record is from RNAcentral.